UAGGGAAUCUUCCGCAAUGGACGCAAGUCUGACGUAGCAACGCCGCGUGAGUGAAGAAGGAUUUCGGUUCGUAAAACUCUGUUGUUAGAGAAGAACAGCGCAUAGAGUAACUGUUAUGCGUGUGACGGUAUCUAACCAGAAAGCCACGGCUAACUACGUGCCAGCAGCCGCGGUAAUACGUAGGUGGCAAGCGUUGUCCGGAUUUAUUGGGCGUAAAGCGCGCGAAGGCGGUCAAUUAAGUCUGAUGUGAAAGCCCCCGGCUCAACCGGGGAGGGUCAUUGGAAACUGGGUGACUUGAGUGCAGAAGAGGAGAGUGGAAUUCCAUGUGUAGCGGUGAAAUGCGUAGAUAUAUGGGGGAACACCAGUGGCGAAGGCGACUCUCUGGUCUGUAACUGACGCUGAGGUUCGAAAGCGUGGGUAGCAAACAGG
This 429-nucleotide ribosomal RNA is filed under the name Bacteroidota bacterium. RNAcentral describes it as "Bacteroidetes bacterium partial 16S ribosomal RNA". It matches the Rfam family "Bacterial small subunit ribosomal RNA", at positions 355 to 776 of the family's 1533-position model. Lineage: Bacteria; Pseudomonadati; Bacteroidota. The record is from RNAcentral.